GCUUGUUGGUGAGGUAAUGGCCCACCAAGGCUUCAACGGGUAGCCGGCCUGAGAGGAUGAUCAGCCACUCUGGGACUGAGACACGGCCCAGACUCCUACAGGAGGCAGCAAUGGGGAAUAUUGGACAAUGGGCGAAAGCCUGAUCCAGCCAUGCCGCGUGAGUGAUGAAGGCCCUAGGGUUGUAAAGCUCUUUCAACGGUGAAGAUAAUGACGGUAACCGUAGAAGAAGCCCCGGCUAACUUCGUGCCAGCAGCCGCGGUAAUACGAAGGGGGCUAGCGUUGUUCGGAAUUACUGGGCGUAAAGCGCACGUAGGCGGACUAUUAAGUCAGGGGUGAAAUCCCGGGGCUCAACCCCGGAACUGCCUUUGAUACUGGUAGUCUCGAGUCCGGAAGAGGUGAGUGGAAUUCCGAGUGUAGAGGUGAAAUUCGUAGAUGUUCGGAGGAACACCAGUGGCGAAGGCGGCUCACUGGUCCGGUACUGACGCUGAGGUGCGAAAGCGUGGGGAGCAAACAGGAUUAGAUACCCCGGUAGUCCUGGACC
This 541-nucleotide ribosomal RNA is filed under the name uncultured microorganism. RNAcentral describes it as "bacterial SSU rRNA". It matches the Rfam family "Bacterial small subunit ribosomal RNA", at positions 244 to 802 of the family's 1533-position model. The record is from RNAcentral.